Molecule: long non-coding RNA, 1191 nt
Filed under: Equus asinus (donkey)
Lineage: Eukaryota; Metazoa; Chordata; Mammalia; Perissodactyla; Equidae
Description: lncRNA (ENSEASG00005030246.1)
Source: RNAcentral
GUUCACUCAGCAGCCCUGAGGGUGCCACCUCUCUUGCUUCUCUCCCACCUUCCUCCCCUAUGCCCAGAGCAGUGCUUCCUCUAGUUUCCUCAGACACUCCCCCACUCAGAUGCUAAGAGUCCUCCUCCUCUGGGGCUCAGCCCACCCAGCUUUGCCUCCUUCCACCCAUCUGGUCUGCCUCCAGGUUUCUUCCCUGUUUUUAGUCUCUUGUCUUCAUCUUGGAUGACUUCAGGGUCCCCCUGGGUCACUCACCUGACUUCCCAAUCUUAUAGAUCCCCAAGGACCUCUGCCAUCCCUUCAUUUCAGCCACACUCUGGACUUUGUCCUCAUCCACAAAUAUGCCGCCUUCGAAACCUGGAUUUCAGCUCCUGGCCCUGCGAGCCAGCUUCUGGUCCCUCCAGCUCUCUCUCCGUCCCUCUGCUCUCAAGUGCCCUUCAGUGCCCGGGCCCACCCCUCCAAUCCCUCUGGUCAUCAGGCCCUCCCUGGCUGCACUUCGCACCCCACUGAGCCUGGACUCCAGGUUACCAUCUAUUUUGGAACUUCAAACUACACAUCCCCUCCUUGAACUCGGCAGCUCCCUCUGCCUCUGGGAAUGCACAUUCACACAGGCCAGCCCCUGGGACUCAUUCGGUCUCAUGCCAAGGUCAAGACAAGCAAGGAAACCUUUGGAACAGGAUGCAAAUGCAGCUCUUUCCAUCCAGCCCGGCAUCCUGCUUCCAGAUGCAAGAGGCUGAGCAGGCCACUGGGAUAGUAUUUAAGCGGCUGUGACCACCAUGUCCCCAUUUGGAAACUGGAGCCCAGGGACCGCCCUCCCCCUCCCCUGUCCGGGCCUUUAAAGUGGUCUGAAUAAUACAUUACACUUUUAUUCGUCUUCCUCGCUAGAUGCAAGCACUUUACCGGAACCCUGUCAUAUUCAUCUUUAUGGCCUGAGGUUCUGCUCCUGGUAGGAGCUCAGCAAAUGUUCGGUAAAAUGAAUUUUUAAAGUAAUUAUUGAAUCAUCAAGUCAAUGUUUGGAUAAACCAGUCAGAGUGAGACUGUUCAUGAGUCUGCCUAGAAAAUACAUUUCUUCAUACAGUGCUGUUGUCUUUGUCGCUUGGCCUGGAAAAGGCUUUCCCGUAUAUACAUGUGAGAAGUGCCACAACCAGCUGUCUGAAUGCUUGAGUGCGAGCUAAGGGAGGCAGUAGAUCUGGG